CCAGGUUCGGCAUCCCCGUCUGAUCCGUGGCCCGGGAGUUUCGCUUUCCGUUCGGUGGGCGCAGGCAGGAAUUGAAUGCCUUCUUCCCAAAGAGAGCAGGGCGGCUACCACCAUGGAGUUCCCGAUGCAGCAAUUUUCGAGAAGAGGACAGAGGGAGCGAGAAGAAGAACAGGCAAGACGACGCGCCAUGAGUUCCUCCUGCAGCCAAUCCGCAGAUCCACAAUAUUUGGGGAGGUCGGGGAGAGUCUCGUGUAGGAUGGAUCGCCGGCAUAUGAGACAAGGCAACAGUGGUGGAGGUGGCGCUGCAGGAGGGAACAGUUUUGAGUGAGGACGAGCGGGUCUGUUGGGCGUCAGGAGCGGCGGCGAUGAGCGGCCAAGGACGAAUCUGCAGUGCUGCGCCGGCGGCGGCGAAGGUCUAAUCUGCAGCGAGGCGCAGGCGGCAGCAGUGAGAAAGGACAGCUCGCCUCCCACGUCUGAGCUGUCAAUGGGGAAGAUGAAUCUGCAGGCUCUUGGUUGGAAUAAGAGGUGAGGGGAAUGGAGUACAAAUUUGAACACCAUUGUUGUGUACUAUGUUUUUACAUUCUUGCUUUAUUUGUUUGCUGUUGGAAAACGAUUGUGUGAUACGAAUUGGUGUGGUUGCUGGUUGGUUUGUACUGCUGCUCUUCUGAAGAAUUGUUGCUAGUUUAAUCUAUGAGCCCCGUAUAGAAACCUGAUUGCUUGCUGCUGCUCCUCUGCGGUUUGCUGGUUGUUGAUAGUUUAAUCUAUUAGUCCCGUGUUAAUUCUUGAUAGCAUGAUUGCUUACUGCUGCUCCUCUGAAGAAUUUGAAGUAUUGAAUUUUCAGGCUGUCUAUGGGCAUGCAUUGUUGCUUAUGAUUUUUCGUGCUAGUAAUCCAUGGUUUAAUGUACUAUCAGUUACCGUAGUUUGUGUAAAUUUGUGGUUGGUGGAUUAGAAUGGUUGACAGAACCAUGAGUGAUCCAUUAUCUGGUUGUGGAUUGGGGCUGAUGGCCCAAGCUGGGCACCUUGCCCAACUCGUGUAAGCGCGUUCGAGAAGGCAGUGAGGGUGUUCGCAGAAAAGUUGACGAUUUCUACAACUUGUAUUCAUGGGAGAAGGGAUUUGGGAUUAGAUAUGGGAAAAAACGGCUAAAUGUGUAGAGAAUGAAGUGCAUGCAGGAAAAUUUUCUGCUGAUGUUUGGUAAGGAAGGCUAUGUUCGAUAUUAAUGUAUAUGUUCAUAGGAGUUGAAUUAGAUGAAGGUCAUGUGAAUCGUAAGACCUCUGAAGACAUUGUUUAUGUUUACGGGGGAAAGCUGGUGUGGAGAGCACAAAGUCCUAUCGGUGUGAAUGCCCAGCGUCGAUAAGGCUGUUAUGGACAGAGGAAAAUGGGUGGUAUAUCGCCGAGCAUCGGGAGAGUCAUAACCAUUCUUUUUCACCAAAUUUCGGUGAGACAGUUCACUGGCCGUCCCACAAGCACAUUGAUGUGUACAGCAGGGACGUGAUAAAAUAGUUGCGGCAGAAUAAUGCAUACCUUGUGAAGGUGUAUAUAGGAUAGUAGGCAGUUUUUUUGGAUCGAGGGAAAAUGUGCCAUUCACGAAGAGGUCUUUGUGUAAUCUGUGCGGCACGAUUAGCAGGGAACAUUCAGAUGACGAUGUAAGGAAAUUGGAGCGAAGGACAUCAUUUCACAUACAGAGUUCAGCCUGACAAAGACGGCAGGUUGCAUUACACGUUUUUCAGUGAUGUGUUAGACAUUUGACACAGCCUUUCGGCCUAUUUGUUGGUGUGAAUAAUCCUUUCCAGAGUGUUAUCCUGGAUGGAGUGCUUGUGUGUGACGAAACCAUCGAGGGUUUCGAAUGGGUUUUCUCUGAAUUUCUGAGAAUGAUGGGUGGCGCUGCACCGAUAACAAUACUUACCGGUACGUUCUUCAUUUCAUGGCUGUCAUUUAUAUGAUGGUGUUUUCAUGGCCUAAAAAAUAUGUUCGAUGUUGACUUUUAAGAAGUUGCUGCAGCUACAACACUUUGCCUCCUUGCCCAAUAACCCAAGAUCCUCACCAAGGUACACUUUGCCUUUUAAUCUAGAAAAGUGAUAGAAGUAGUUUAGGUUUUGUGACAGAUUUAGCAAGUGUGAAUUUCAUAUCACUAUGACAGAUUUAGUAAGUGUGAAUUUCAGACUGGUGUAUGUGUGAAUGAGAGAAUCUUUGACGUGGAUUCAGAUUAGUGUGGGAGUUCCUUGACUCUCCAUGUUGUGUAAAUAAUAGUUUUGUUAGCUAGAUGAUGAUGGUCCAUGCCUGACAAUCCUGUAUGUUGCAUGUACUGCCCACGUUUUGACAGAGAAAAAAGGAAAAACAAUGAGUUAUAGCUGCUGCCAUGAAACCCCCAAUAUGAUUGGCAUUCAUGAAAGUACACAUAGAAAUUUCUCGCAUUAGCACCACUGAGUUGUGAAUUUCUUCUUUUUAACAGGAGAUGUAUCUGUCUUGUCAUCAUAUAAUAAUUUUUUUGAUUAGACUCUGAUGGUUCAUCUACUAUCUGUGUAAUAGUAACUUGGACAAAGAGAGGGUGAACUAAGACAGUGCUUUAUAAUAGUACAUAUGUUUACAUAGAGAGCUUCAGAAACGCUAGCGUGUGGUUAUUAGUACUACUAGAUGUACUCCCUCCGUCCGAAAAAACUUGUCAUCAAAAUGGACAAAAAAGGGUGUAUCUAGAACUAAAAUACAUCUAGAUACAUCCCCUUUUAUUCAUUUUGAUGACAAGUAUUUCCGGACGGAGGGAGUAGUUGAUUUCCAGGCUGUCCAUGAAUGUUUUAGUUAUGUUGUUGGGUGCUUGUACUGUCCCUCAAUUGUUCUGCCACAAAGCACAAGCAACCUGCGGUUUCUAGUGUGAGUCUACAAUGCUAGUAAUCUUUAAAAUGUUUUCAUUUUUAGCUGAGAUAUUUUGCUACUAUAGUACUCCUUCAGUACAUAAACCUGCCACGGAAAUGUUUGAUUGCAGCCCAGAAGAACAGCCUUGCCAUAUAGUAACAAUGUAAUUUCUCCGUCCCAUCAUGCAAGACGUUUUUUGAUAGUAGUGUAGUGUCAAGAAACGUCUUACAUCAUGUGACGGAGGGAGUAACAUGCAAACCAUAGUUCAGCCACAAUAUGCAGGGAUAUGUUUGGUUAACAGUACAUAUAUUUUUUUCUUGAGAAAUAGCCUAGCAAGGACAAUGGAACUAGUAAGAAAAAAAGGUUCAACAAAAGUUUCAUUACUUAAUAUACUUUUCGGGGUUUCUGAAGUUGUAGAGCACACGACCAUUAGUCAUGCACACGGCUGCUGCAAUCUCUUUUGGUUCUUCCUGAAAGUCUAAAGAAUUUCACACAUCAAACAGCUCAUCCACUAGUGUGCCUUGUCUUUGUAUCUUUCACCUGAUUACUAAAAUGCUUAUGAGCAUCUAAGAAUUGUACUACUGCUAGAAACUUAGCACAAUCAUCCUAUUUUCCAUUUUUGAUACUGCAAUGGUGUCGUCUUUUGGUUGUUCUACUAUAGGCUUUUUGCAAGGCAUGUAGACAAGUCGAUGCUCCUGUCCAUUCUAGCAUGAUGUACUUUGUUAGAAUUCUGAAGAUUAGUGUGUCAUUAGUGCUCCUAUGAAUUCUGAAGCAAAACAACAGGCAGCAAGAAACCAAGCAUCACCCUGGUUCUCCUAUGAAUUCUGAAGAUUAAUGUGUCACUAGUACUCAUAUAUGUGGUGUUGUCAGCAUUGAGGGCAUUAUCUGAAAAUUAUUAUUUUGCGAUUCCAUCUAAACUGCAGUUACCUUAUUCUACAAUGUUCAGGGACAUGCUGUAAUUUUAUUUUUCUUAUGGGUCUUUGUGCAAGCUGUACUGAAUUUUCAGAUUAAUAUAAUGCAGCUCCAGCCGAUGCUAUAUGUAUCGGAGUUUGUAGGGACCA
Molecule: long non-coding RNA, 3909 nt
Organism: Triticum aestivum (bread wheat)
Lineage: Eukaryota; Viridiplantae; Streptophyta; Magnoliopsida; Poales; Poaceae
Exons: 2
Source: RefSeq, a predicted model, not a curated record